This is a small RNA of 182 nucleotides. It matches the Rfam family "Bacteroidales-1 6S-Bacteroidales RNA suggested". The record is from Rfam.
GGUUGUAUCGAUUAGAUUGGGGUACUCUUCAAAACAAAAUCGAAAACCGAGAAGAUUUCUUUUGCUAAUGGCGGGCCACAAACCUUACGGUUAGCUGUAAAGCCGGUGGAUUACAAAGGCGGAGAACUCUCAAAUCAUGUAUAGCUCAGAGUUUUCAUCACAUCAUCGAUAUGACCCUCUUU